Molecule: transfer RNA, 63 nt
Filed under: Chelurotropella siamensis
Lineage: Eukaryota; Metazoa; Arthropoda; Insecta; Hemiptera; Urostylididae
Description: tRNA-Pro
Source: RNAcentral
CAGUAAAAAGUUUUUUAAAAUAUUAAUUUUGGAGAUUAAAGAUAAGUAAUAACUUUUUACUGA